Molecule: long non-coding RNA, 728 nt
Organism: Rosa rugosa (rugosa rose)
Lineage: Eukaryota; Viridiplantae; Streptophyta; Magnoliopsida; Rosales; Rosaceae
Exons: 5
Source: RefSeq, a predicted model, not a curated record
ACAAAACAGCCCUAAUUCUUUUUCCCUCUUUUUGCCCAACCGCUCUGUCUCUCGCCCAGUGGUGCUCUCUCUCGACCAGUACCUCACCACACUCUCUCUCGCCGCCUCCUUCAGCAUCAACUGCCGAAUCUCUGUCUGCAGUCCAGGUAAUUAAGAAAUCCCCCAAACACAACCGCUCUCUCUCACCACUCUCUCUCGCCCAGUACCUCACCACUCUCUCUCUCGCUGCCUCCUUCAGCAUCAACUGCCGAAUCUCUGUCUGCAGUCCAGAUGCGCUCAGUUUCUCUGGAGCUUGAGAUUCUUGGCAGGCAUCAGCACCCUGAAUUAACGAUUCCCUUUUUAAAGGCACGCAGCAGCAGCGUUUCUAGUUUGAAAUCGGUUUCUUUUUCCAUUACUGGGAAUCGCUUCCCAUCUCUAACUUCAAGACCUGGACCCUUUCAAGUUUCCUAGUCGAGAACACCAUCCAUUAUUUGAAAAGACUACUCAUCUUCAAGUCAGCAGUGACGGAUUUGGAGUUAAUUUUGGAAAUCCAAAGCCAAGAGCUUGAUAUUACCGGAAAACUUGCAUCUCACAAUGGAUAAGAGUUGGAUAAACUUAGGCAACAGAUGGUCAAAGAGGGUUAUUGAUGGUUAUGAAGACUUUUUGAAGUUUGCAUACACCAAUAAGAAUGAAAGUGAACUAAUAAGCUGUCCAUGUAGAAAAUGUUGCAAUCGGCCCAUUUAUUUGCC